Molecule: unclassified non-coding RNA, 253 nt
Filed under: uncultured Alphaproteobacteria bacterium
Lineage: Bacteria; Pseudomonadati; Pseudomonadota; Alphaproteobacteria
Description: contains 16S-23S intergenic spacer region
Rfam family: Bacterial small subunit ribosomal RNA
Source: RNAcentral
UACGAGGGGGGCUAGCGUUGCUCGGAAUUACUGGGCGUAAAGGGCGCGUAGGCGGCUUAGUCAGUCAGGCGUGAAAUUCCUGGGCUUAACCUGGGGGCUGCGCUUGAUACGGCUAGGCUUGAGGGUAGGAGAGGGUCGUGGAAUUCCCAGUGUAAAGGUGAAAUUCGUAGAUAUUGGGAAGAACACCGGUGGCGAAGGCGGCGACCUGGCCUAUUACUGACGCUGAGGCGCGACAGCGUGGGGAGCAAACAGG